Molecule: long non-coding RNA, 1203 nt
Organism: Raphanus sativus (radish)
Lineage: Eukaryota; Viridiplantae; Streptophyta; Magnoliopsida; Brassicales; Brassicaceae
Exons: 3
Source: RefSeq, a predicted model, not a curated record
AAAUUGUUUCAUUAUAAAUUUAUAAGUACUUUCCUCCUAACUAUCUUUUGCGCUCAUAGUCAAAAAGAGAGACAUUUCAAAGAUUCACUUAUUCAUUUCUUAAAUGGCUUUAAUCUUUCUUCCCUAACCAUUUCCUACAUCUUUUCAUCGUUCACAUUAUAUAUGUCCCUUUCAAUUUACUAUUCCACCUUCACUUUUCACCAGCUCCAUUAUGGCAAACUCUGUACCAAAUUUAGUAAAUAACUUUUCAAAAUUAAAGAAAAAGUAAACUUCAAAUCAUGGAAAGGAGAAGAUAACAACGAUGAAGUAUGAUUGCGAAUCUGCAACUUUUGGUGGAAUAAAGAAUGUGCCGGUGUUGAUGAACAAAGAGCAUGACGAGGAUCCAAAAAGCAUGGCGAGUAGGUACUGUUUAAUGGGACCUUUGUAGUAAUGUCUUGGGAUCAAAUUAAGAGACAUAUCUAGACCUAAUAAUUUCAUAUUAAUAGCAAAUGCUUUCAAAUAGGAGAUAAAACUUGAAGCAUUAACCUGAAACCAUCAGUAUAAAUACAUGGAGAAAUGAAUUACAUCAUAUUUUACUUCCCUAUGUUUCAAAAAAAUCAAUAGAAAAAAACUACUAUUAUGUUUUGUAUAUUAUUCCAAAACGAUAGCUUGGCAUACACGGAUCAAAGGUUAGGCAUCGUCUCCCUUCUCCCCUCGCUAAUUAGGGUUUUGUCUCCUUAAUUUCUUCUUUCCCUUUACCUUCUCAGAUACCCUAAUCAAACCUAAACGGGAAAUACUGGACUCAUUUGAACUACAAAUUCGCUUAUUUGAAAAAUAAAAUUUGAAUACUCCAUGUUUAUUGUUUUCUAAUAUUAAUAAUUUGUUUUAUGUCAAGAUAAAAUUUAGACUAUGGCCCGAUCUAGCCCGACAAAAACUAUGUAUGGGCCUGAUUUUCUUUUCACAUCAAGGGAUCAUCCAAGACCAAAGAGAAUAAAUAUUGUGGUUUCUAAUGAUGAGAAAGCUUUGCUGCAUUCAUCAUUGCACAUGUGAAAAUCAAUCACAUGAAUGAAAGACUCUCGUGACGACAAAACAAGUAAAGAAGUUUGCAUUAAUGUCAUGUUUUUUCCUCUUAUUAAUAUCAGAAAACCAUCACAUCACAUCCCCUAUCAAUACACACACACAAGCUUUUAGAUCCAAGUGUCUCUCGUCUCAAAACCAAAGAAA